Molecule: ribosomal RNA, 439 nt
Filed under: uncultured bacterium
Lineage: Bacteria
Description: partial 16S ribosomal RNA
Rfam family: Bacterial small subunit ribosomal RNA
Source: RNAcentral
CUACGGGAGGCACCAGUGGGGAAUAUUGCACAAUGGAGGAAACUCUGAUGCAGCAACGCCGCGUGGAGGAUGACACUUUUCGGAGCGUAAACUCCUUUUAUAUAGGAAGAAGAUGACGGUACUAUAUGAAUAAGCGCCGGCUAACUCCGUGCCAGCAGCCGCGGUAAUACGGAGGGCGCAAGCGUUACUCGGAAUCACUGGGCGUAAAGAGCGUGUAGGCGGAUUAAAAAGUCAGAAGUGAAAUCCUAUAGCUUAACUAUAGAACUGCUUCUGAAACUCUUAAUCUAGAAUAUGGGAGAGGUAGAUGGAAUUUCUGGUGUAGGGGUAAAAUCCGUAGAGAUCAGAAGGAAUACCGAUUGCGAAGGCGAUCUACUAGAACAUUAUUGACGCUGAGACGUGAAAGCGUGGGGAGCAAACAGGAUUAGAUACCCUGGUAGUC